Molecule: ribosomal RNA, 208 nt
Filed under: uncultured bacterium
Lineage: Bacteria
Description: partial 16S ribosomal RNA
Rfam family: Bacterial small subunit ribosomal RNA
Source: RNAcentral
UGCGUAGGUGGUUUGUUAAGUCUGCUGUGAAAGCCCCGGGCUCAACCUGGGAAUGGCAGUGGAUACUGGCAAGCUAGAGUGCGGUAGAGGGUAGUGGAAUUCCCGGUGUAGCGGUGAAAUGCGUAGAGAUCGGGAGGAACACCAGUGGCGAAGGCGGCUACCUGGACCAGCACUGACACUGAGGCACGAAAGCGUGGGGAGGCAAACA